The sequence is a small nuclear RNA, 114 nucleotides long. Its record names the gene U5. It matches the Rfam family "U5 spliceosomal RNA". From Rfam's summary of the family: U5 RNA is a component of both types of known spliceosome. The precise function of this molecule is unknown, though it is known that the 5' loop is required for splice site selection and p220 binding, and that both the 3' stem-loop and the Sm site are important for Sm protein binding and cap methylation. The record is from Ensembl.
ACACUCUGGGUUCUCUUCAGAUCGUAUAAAUCUUUCGCCUUUUACUAAAGAUUUCCGUGGAGAGGACCAUUAUGAGUUUUAACUAAUUUUUUGAUGCCCUGCUCACGCGGGGCU